GGCUUAACACAUGCAAGUCGAGGGGUAUAUGUCUUCGGAUAUAGAGACCGGCGCACGGAUGCGUAACGCGUAUGCAAUCUACCUUUUACAGGGGAAUAGCCCAGAGAAAUUUGGAUUAAUGCCCCAUAGUAUUAUGAAAUGGCAUCAUUUUAUAAUUAAAGUCACAACGGUAAAAGAUGAGCAUGCGUCCCAUUAGUUAGUUGGUAAGGUAACGGCUUACCAAGACAAUGAUGGGUAGGGGUCCUGAGAGGGAGAUCCCCCACACUGGUACUGAGACACGGACCAGACUCCUACGGGAGGCAGCAGUGAGGAAUAUUGGACAAUGGGCGCAAGCCUGAUCCAGCCAUGCCGCGUGCGGGAAGACGGUCCUAUGGAUUGUAAACUGCUUUUAUACAGGAAGAAACACUCCGACGUGUCGGAGCUUGACGGUACUGUAGGAAUAAGGAUCGGCUAACUCCGUGCCAGCAGCCGCGGUAAUACGGAGGAUCCAAGCGUUAUCCGGAAUCAUUGGGUUUAAAGGGUCCGUAGGCGGUUUAAUAAGUCAGUGGUGAAAUCUGGUCGCUCAACGAUCAAACGGCCAUUGAUACUGUUAGACUUGAAUUAUAAGGAAGUAACUAGAAUAUGUAGUGUAGCGGUGAAAUGCUUAGAUAUUACAUGGAAUACCAAUUGCGAAGGCAGGUUACUACUUAUGGAUUGACGCUGAUGGACGAAAGCGUGGGGAGCGAACAGGAUUAGAUACCCUGGUAGUCCACGCCGUAAACGAUGGAUACUAGCUGUUGGGCGCAAGUUCAGUGGCUAAGCGAAAGUGAUAAGUAUCCCACCCUGGGGAGUACGUUCGCAAGAAUGAAACUCAAAGGAAUUGACGGGGGCCCGCACAAGCGGUGGAGCAUGUGGUUUAAUUCGAUGAUACGCGAGGAACCUUACCAAGGCUUAAAUGUAGAUUGACAGGACUGGAAACAGUUUUUUCUUCGGACAAUUUACAAGGUGCUGCAUGGUUGUCGUCAGCUCGUGCCGUGAGGUGUCAGGUUAAGUCCUAUAACGAGCGCAACCCCUGUUGUUAGUUGCCAGCGAGUCAUGUCGGGAACUCUAACGAGACUGCCAGUGCAAACUGUGAGGAAGGUGGGGAUGACGUCAAAUCAUCACGGCCCUUACGCCUUGGGCUACACACGUGCUACAAUGGACGGUACAGAGAGCAGCCACUGCGCAAGCAGGAGCGAAUCUACAAAACCGUUCUCAGUUCGGAUCGGAG
Molecule: ribosomal RNA, 1249 nt
Filed under: uncultured bacterium
Lineage: Bacteria
Description: bacterial SSU rRNA
Rfam family: Bacterial small subunit ribosomal RNA
Source: RNAcentral